UCCUACGGGGGGCAGCAGUGAGGAAUAUUGGUCAAUGGGAGAGAUCCUGAACCAGCCAAGCCGCGUGAGGGAAGACGGCCCUAUGGGUUGUAAACCUCCUUUGUCGGAGAACAAAACCCGGGACGUGUCCCGGACUGCGUGUAUCCGAAGAAAAAGCAUCGGCUAACUCCGUGCCAGCAGCCGCGGUAAUACGGAGGAUGCGAGCGUUAUCCGGAUUUAUUGGGUUUAAAGGGUGCGUAGGCGGUCCGUUAAGUCAGCGGUAAAAUUGCGGGGCUCAACCCCGCCGAGCCGUUGAAACUGGAAGA
RNAcentral lists this ribosomal RNA (305 nucleotides) under uncultured bacterium. RNAcentral describes it as "bacterial SSU rRNA". It matches the Rfam family "Bacterial small subunit ribosomal RNA", at positions 337 to 640 of the family's 1533-position model. The record is from RNAcentral.